UUAAAGUUUUAUUCUUGCUUUAUUUAUUUGUUUUUAUAUUAUUUUAUAUGUUAAUUUUUGUAUAAUAAUUAUUUCUUAAUGGAUUGUUAUGUAUUAUUUGUUUUUAAAUUGAUUUGCAGUAAUGAAUAUUAUAUAUUUAGGUUACUUUGAUUUAGUUAUUAUUAUUAAUUAUUGAUUAAAUAUGUGCCAGCAAUCGCGGUUAUACAUUGGAUAUGAAUAAAUAUUUUUAGUUGUUGUGGUUAUAUUUGUUGAAUGUUAAUUUUGUUUUGAUUAUUAAUUAGGUGGAAUUAUUAAUAUUUGUUUUUUAUUAUUUUGUUUUAUAAGAGGCUAUGAAAUUUUUAGUAUAUAAACUAGGAUUAGAUACCCUAUUAUUUUUUAUGUAAAUUUUUGGUGACUGGGGUAGUAUUAGUUGGUCUUGAAACCUAAAGAAUUUGGCGGUGUUUUAUGUCUUUUUAGAGGAAUCUGUUCCGUAAUCGAUAGUCCGCGUUGUAUCUUACUUUUUAAAUUAGUUUGUAUACCGCCGUUGUUGAAUAUUUUUUUAGAAUUAUUUAAUUUUCUUUAUUUUUUAUUUGAAUUUAUUUCAGGUCAAGGUGCAGCUUAUGAAUGGAGUGGAAAUGGAUUACAAUAUUGUUUUAAUAUAUGAAUAUUGUUAGUAAUUACUUUUUGAAGGUGGAUUUAAUAGUAAUUUUAUGUAGAUUGUUAAAAUGAAAUAAGUUCUGGAACAUGUACAUAUCGCCCGUCACUCUCGUUAAUUGUUUAUAAGAUGAGAUAAGUCGUAACAAAGUAGAUGUACUGGAAAGUGUAUCUAGAAUUAU
RNAcentral lists this non-coding RNA (815 nucleotides) under Balta jinlinorum. Lineage: Eukaryota; Metazoa; Arthropoda; Insecta; Blattodea; Pseudophyllodromiidae. The record is from RNAcentral.